UCUACGGGGGCUGCAGUGGGGAAUAUUGGACAAUGGGCGAAAGCCUGAUCCAGCCAUGCCGCGUGUGUGAAGAAGGCCUUCGGGUUGUAAAGCACUUUCAGUGGGGAAGAAAGCCUUGGGGCUAAUACCCUCGAGGAAGGACAUCACCCACAGAAGAAGCACCGGCUAACUCCGUGCCAGCAGCCGCGGUAAUACGGAGGGUGCGAGCGUUAAUCGGAAUUACUGGGCGUAAAGCGCGCGUAGGCGGUCUGAUAAGCCGGUUGUGAAAGCCCCGGGCUCAACCUGGGAACGGCAUCCGGAACUGUCAGGCUAGAGUGCAGGAGAGGAAGGUAGAAUUCCCGGUGUAGCGGUGAAAUGCGUAGAGAUCGGGAGGAAUACCAGUGGCGAAGGCGGCCUUCUGGACUGACACUGACGCUGAGGUGCGAAAGCGUGGGUAGCAAACAGGAUUAGAUACCCGGGUAGUC
This 464-nucleotide ribosomal RNA is filed under the name Vreelandella stevensii. RNAcentral describes it as "partial 16S ribosomal RNA". It matches the Rfam family "Bacterial small subunit ribosomal RNA", at positions 338 to 795 of the family's 1533-position model. The record is from RNAcentral. Lineage: Bacteria; Pseudomonadati; Pseudomonadota; Gammaproteobacteria; Oceanospirillales; Halomonadaceae.